AUGUUCUCGCCGCCGGAGAUGAUCACGUCCUUGGACCUGUCCUUGAUCUCGAUGUACCCGUCCGGGUGCACCACGCCGACGUCGCCCGUCAUGAACCACCCGCCCCUGAACGCCUGCGCGUUCGCCUCCGGGUUGUUGAGGUACCCCUUCAUGAUGCUGCUGCCUCGGAGCACGAUCUCGCCCAGCGUCUUCCCGUCGCGCGGCACCCUGGCCAUCGCGUCGUCGUCGGUGACGACGUCGGCGUCGGCGAGUGACAGGACGCUGACGCCCUGCCGGGCCUUGAGGCGCGCGCGCUCCGAGAUGGGCAGGUUGUCCCACUGGGCGCGCCACUCGCACGCCAGCGCGGGGCCCGUGGCCUCGGUGAGCCCGUAG
This 372-nucleotide ribosomal RNA is filed under the name Triticum aestivum (bread wheat). Its description in RNAcentral is "partial small subunit ribosomal RNA". The record is from RNAcentral. Lineage: Eukaryota; Viridiplantae; Streptophyta; Magnoliopsida; Poales; Poaceae.